UUCAACUGUGAUAUUCGUGCUGAGUUACCUUCCUGGAGAUUGUCUCUCACCCACUCCCUUUGCAUUUCAACCAAGAGCUUUCAUGUUUACCCAACCGGACACCUUUAAAUUCCUGUGUCUACCUUGCGCACAAAGUGUCAUUCAGUGGGCUUCACAGGUCUAUAAUUUUCUGCUAGAGUUGAAAAUUCUCAUGUGGAGUUGAAACGGUUAAUUUUAUGUGUCAACUUGACUGAGUCGUAGUGCCUAGAACGUUGACCAAAUAUUAUUCUGGAUGUUUCUAUGAAGGUGUUCUCUAUAUAGUAAAAAUUAACACUUAAAUCUUAGUGGAUUUCAAUAAAGCAACUUACCCUCCAUUAUCUGGGUGGGUCUCAUCCAAUCGGUUGAAGGCUGAAGAGAAAGAAGACGGAUUGCCCUGAACAAGAAGGAAUGUGGCCAGCAGCCUGACUUGGACUUGAACCCCUUCCUGAGUCUCUAGCUGCCUGCCCUCCCUGUCCAACUUGGACUUGUCGAGCCUGC
RNAcentral lists this long non-coding RNA (516 nucleotides) under Marmota monax (woodchuck). The record is from RNAcentral. Lineage: Eukaryota; Metazoa; Chordata; Mammalia; Rodentia; Sciuridae.